AGUGGUUAUAGUGAAUAGCGAUAGGCAAAGGUUAUGUCCGACUUCAUUUUCACGCGUAACGGAAUCACAGAAAUGGAUACUCUCAGGAAUAAUAGAGAAUGAAUUACUAGGCACUACUCCAAGAAGCUAUUCUAGUGCAUUUCAAAUGAUCCAAGGAUUAUUUGCUGCAGCUUGUGAUUCAAAUUGCAGCAAUUCGACCA
Molecule: long non-coding RNA, 200 nt
Organism: Amphimedon queenslandica
Lineage: Eukaryota; Metazoa; Porifera; Demospongiae; Haplosclerida; Niphatidae
Exons: 2
Source: RefSeq, a predicted model, not a curated record